AACAGGAUUAGAUACCCUGGUAGUCCACGCCGUAAACGAUGAGUGCUAAGUGUUAGAGGGUUUCCGCCCUUUAGUGCUGAAGUUAACGCAUUAAGCACUCCGCCUGGGGAGUACGGCCGCAAGGCUGAAACCCAAAGGAAUUGACGGGGGCCCGCACAAGUGGUGGAGCAUGUGGUUUAAUUCGAAGCAACGCGAAGAACCUUACCAGGUCUUGACAUCCUCUGACAACCCUAGAGAUAGGGCUUUCCCUUCGGGGACAGAGUGACAGGUGGUGCAUGGUUGUCGUCAGCUCGUGUCGUGAGAUGUUGGGUUAAGUCCCGCAACGAGCGCAACCCUUGAUCUUAGUUGCCAGCAUUCAGUUGGGCACUCUAAGGUGACUGCCGGUGACAAACCGGAGGAAGGUGGGGAUGACGUCAAAUCAUCAUGCCCCUUAUGACCUGGGCUACACACGUGCUACAAUGGAUAGUACAAAGGGUUGCAAGACCGCGAGGUGGAGCUAAUCCCAUAAAACUAUUCUCAGUUCGGAUUGUAGGCUGCAACUCGCCUACAUGAAGCCGGAAUCACUAGUAAUCGCGGAUCAGCAUGCCGCGGUGAAUACGUUCCCGGGCCUUGUACACACCGCCCGUCACACCACGAGAGUUUGUAACACCCGAAGUCGGUGGGGUAACCGUAAGGAGCCAGCCGCCUAAGGUGGGACAGAUGAUUGGGGUGAAGUCGUAACAAGGUAACC
This 730-nucleotide ribosomal RNA is filed under the name uncultured bacterium. RNAcentral's name for it is "bacterial SSU rRNA". It matches the Rfam family "Bacterial small subunit ribosomal RNA", at positions 771 to 1501 of the family's 1533-position model. The record is from RNAcentral.